UCUCAUUUUUCCUGGACGAUUUCCCUGGUCAGAAAUAACCUGGGGGCAGCAUGAAUGGCGGUCCUCAGUGCAGUUCAUGACUGCUGUGCACGGAUGGAGCACAUAUUCAAGGACGAAUCUGAGGUUCCUGUUCUGGGAAUUUGGCUUCACAGUACAGCACUUGCCCUGCAUGUAGUCAGAGGUGAUUGACUGUCAACACGACCAGAAAUGCGGCCAGAAACUCUAGGUGCAGCACUUCCUAAGCAUGAUCUAUUCCAGUGACUACCAUUUCCCCUGAGGGGAUAAAAUCAAGCUGAGCCAACAAGAAAUGCACACAGGAGACAACUGUGGGUCCUGAGCAACUGCGCAGCUGUGGAAUUCAGAAUGGAGAUCCCAAGAUUCCACGAGAAAGCUCCUGGAGCAGCGUGCCUUUCAGUAGUUAAGGGCGUGGGGCUCUGGAUUUAUUUCCAUUUUUUUCUUCCCCCAGGAACUAGUCAUUAAUAUUUGCAUGAAAAAAAAAACAGAGCAAAGGAGCAAUAAUUCAUGUUGAAGAUAGGUCUUAUAUUCUGUAUGUGUGAAGGAAAUAAAUUUUCAGUACAAUAAAAUAAAGCAAACAAAAC
Long non-coding RNA from Mesocricetus auratus (golden hamster), 599 nucleotides. RefSeq lists it as uncharacterized. The transcript is spliced from 3 exons. The record is from RefSeq and is a predicted model, not a curated record. Lineage: Eukaryota; Metazoa; Chordata; Mammalia; Rodentia; Cricetidae.